This 443-nucleotide ribosomal RNA is filed under the name uncultured Pseudomonadota bacterium. RNAcentral describes it as "bacterial SSU rRNA". It matches the Rfam family "Bacterial small subunit ribosomal RNA", at positions 29 to 505 of the family's 1533-position model. The record is from RNAcentral. Lineage: Bacteria; Pseudomonadati; Pseudomonadota.
AAUGAACGCUGGCGGCAUGCCUAACACAUGCAAGUCGAACGGUAACAGGCCCUUCGGGGUGCUGACGAGUGGCGCACGGGUGAGUAUCACAUAGGAAUCUGCCUUACACUGGGGGAUAACAUUCAGAAAUGAAUGCUAAUACCGCAUACGCCUUACGAGGGAAAGCUCCGGCGGUGUAAGAUGAGCCUAUGCUAGAUUAGCUUGUUGGUGAGGUAACGGCUCACCAAGGCUACGAUCUAUAGCGGGUCUGAGAGGAUGAUCCGCCACACUGGUACUGAGACACGGACCAGACUCCUACGGGAGGCAGCAGUGGGGAAUAUUGCGCAAUGGGGGCAACCCUGACGCAGCAAUGCCGCGUGAGUGAUGAAGGUUUUAGGAUUGUAAAGCUCUUUUAGCAGGGAAGAUUAUGACGGUACCUGCAGAAAAAGUCCCGGCUAACUCCG